GCACGUAGUUAGCCGGUGCUUAUUCUUACGGUACCGUCAUUAGCCCAGGGUAUUAACCCAGACCGUUUCGUUCCGUACAAAAGCAGUUUACAACCCGAAGGCCUUCUUCCUGCACGCGGCAUUGCUGGAUCAGGCUUGCGCCCAUUGUCCAAAAUUCCCCA
RNAcentral lists this ribosomal RNA (161 nucleotides) under uncultured bacterium. Its description in RNAcentral is "partial 16S ribosomal RNA". The record is from RNAcentral.